GAUAUUAUAAUAAGGAAAUUUCUUGUCUCUUUUGAAAUAAUAGGGGGAUUCUAUUGCUCUUACAAGAUUUCAGAUUGCAAAACUUCUAUACUGAAAUAUACAAGGGCACGUGAGUUCCCAUUGCAGAAUCUAGUGAUAUAUGAACGGCUGAUUCGGUCAAUUUAUUGUAAAUGAGGGGAUGUUCAAGUCUCAAUCACUGCGGCAAUAUUGCAAAGCAUCACAUUCGAUGCAAAAAUGUGGCAACUUUUGCAAAUUUCAAGCGUUCGAACAACAAAAAUUUUGACAUUUCGUGCGCGCAAAAGUGACAAAAUCGACAUCAGCGAAACUCAUGAUUGAAGAUAUGAGCCCGGAGCUAAGUCACAACUUCACCAAGCAACAACUCAACAAAUCGACAUCAGCGAAAUUCAUGAUGGAAGAUAUGAGCCCGGAGCUAAGUCACAACUUUACCAAGCAACAACUCCACAAAUCGGCAUCAGCGAAAUUCAUGAUGGAAGAUAUGAGGUAAGCGAAAAAUAUCAAUUCCAGCUCGGAGCUAAGUCACAACUUCACCAAGCUCCUAGUGAGAUGCCGGCUCGAAAUGGCGCACGAAUUUUCUGCGGGGAAACGUAAAAAGUCAGUUUUAUGGGCAAAAGUGGUCAAUAAAAUGAGUGUGGUUAAUGCGGAUGCUCCAAAAUCGAAGGACCUUAUGCAAAGAAAGUUUUUGAAUUUAUUUGCGACAUACACACGUAUAAAGAGGCAACAAGCUGGUUGUUUUUUGAAGAGUUCGGCGAUGUGUACGGUAGGCGGCAUUCCAUUUAACCGCCAGCCAAAAACCUUCAAGGCUCCUUAAUGGAUAGUGCUGAAGUAUGUGAAGGGAGUGGAGACGAGAAUACUGACCACUCUUACGAAAGUCAACUCGUAAACGAACGACGAAAGCGUCCAAAGACUGCCGCCAACGAAGCAUUGGAAUUUUUAAAGAAUGAGGCUCUAAAACAACAAGCACGUCAUGAAGAAGUGCUACAAUUCGAAAAAGAAAAAUUGAAUUUUAGAAAAGAAAAAAUAAACGUAAUGAUAAAGUUGCGGGAAACUUUAGAAAAGUUAACCGAAAAGUAAAAAAAAAAGAAUUUGAAAAAUGUAAACUUGAUCUCUUUUUAUAAUUUUUUAUUACUGUUGUGACCUGUACUUGAAGUAGUUGAA
Long non-coding RNA from Bactrocera neohumeralis, 1176 nucleotides. RefSeq lists it as uncharacterized. The transcript is spliced from 3 exons. Lineage: Eukaryota; Metazoa; Arthropoda; Insecta; Diptera; Tephritidae. The record is from RefSeq and is a predicted model, not a curated record.